AUGUAUAACGUAAGUUUGUUGUAUAAAUUAUUAGUUUAUGCAGCUUUGGCCCUGCUAAGUAAAGUUCUAAGUAGAAUGAUGAUAAUGACGUUUUCUAUCGAAAAAAAUAGUCUUGACCAAAUCACGUGCCAGCAGUCGCGGUAAUACGUGGGAGACUAGUGUUAUUCAUAAUUAAUUGGUUUAAAGGGUACCUAGACGGUUUAUGCAGCCCAAAAUGGAACUAAUAAACUAGAGUUUAAUGCGAGGGGGGGAGUACUAAAGAGUGUAGAGAUGAAAUUCUGUCAUACCUGCCUUGGAACAGGUAACAGCGAAAGCAACCUCUUAUGUAAAAACUGACGUUGAAGGACGAAGGCUUGGGACACCAACAGGAUUAGGUACCCCAGCAGUCCUUGCAGACAAUGAUGAAUGUCAUAGAUUGGAGAUACAGAUAUCUUUUUUCUAUAUAGAAAAAAGAUAUUUUUUUUUGUCUAUAAAUGAAAGUGUAAGCAUUCCACCUCAAGAGUAAUGUGGCAACGCAGAAACUGAAAUCAUUAGACCGUACCUGAAACCAGUAGUGAAGUAUGUUGUUUAAUUUGAUGAUCCUCAAAACACCUUACCACAAUUUGAAUGUUUUUUUUACACAAGCGUUGCACGGCUGUCUUCAGUUAAUGUCGUGAGAUUUUGGUUAGUUCCAUAAAAUUAACGUAAACCCUUGUUUUAUUUAUUAUAAAGCAGUUCCCCACUAUAUUGGAUAUGAUAAUAGGGAUUAAGACAAGUCAAUAUGGCCUUAAUAUUGUGGGCUAU
Molecule: ribosomal RNA, 783 nt
Filed under: Ptychographa xylographoides
Lineage: Eukaryota; Fungi; Ascomycota; Lecanoromycetes; Baeomycetales; Xylographaceae
Description: partial small subunit ribosomal RNA
Rfam family: Bacterial small subunit ribosomal RNA
Source: RNAcentral